This 105-nucleotide ribosomal RNA is filed under the name Ananas comosus (pineapple). Lineage: Eukaryota; Viridiplantae; Streptophyta; Magnoliopsida; Poales; Bromeliaceae. The record is from RNAcentral.
GGAUGCGAUCAUACAGCAUAAAGCACCGGAUCCAUCAGAACUGCAGUUAAGCGUGCUUGGCGAGAGUAGUACUAGAUGGGUGACCCCUGAAGCUCGUUGCAUCCU